Zingiber officinale is the source of this 108-nucleotide small nucleolar RNA. The record is from RefSeq and is a predicted model, not a curated record. NCBI's taxonomy places the organism in Eukaryota, Viridiplantae, Streptophyta, Magnoliopsida, Zingiberales, Zingiberaceae.
AAGCCAUGAUGAGGACACUUGUGCAAUAGUCCUUGAAAUCUCUUCUAAGCCAUGUACAAUGAUUCCCCCAUCUAUCUGUGCAAAACUUAUGAUUUGCUUCCUUAGUUU